GAAUCGUCCWAACGUUGUUCGGAUUUAYUGGGUUUAAAGGGCGCGUAGGCGGUGCGUUAAGUCGGCGGUGAAAUACUUCGGCUCAACCGGAGAAUUGCCGCUGAAACUGGCGUGCUCGAGGGAGGUAGAGGUGCGUGGAGCUUCCGGUGGAGCGGUGAAAUGCGUUGAUAUCGGAAGGAACACCUGUGGCGAAAGCGAUGCACUGGACCUCAUCUGACGCUGAGGCGCGAAAGCCAGGGGAGCGAACGGGAUUAGAUACCCCGGUAGUCCUGGCCAUAAACGAUGGGGACUAGAGAGUAGAUGCUCCGAUGUAUUUACUCUCGAAGCAAAAGUGAUAAGUCCCCCACCUGGGGAGUAUGGUCGCAAGGSKG
RNAcentral lists this ribosomal RNA (371 nucleotides) under uncultured bacterium. RNAcentral's name for it is "bacterial SSU rRNA". It matches the Rfam family "Bacterial small subunit ribosomal RNA", at positions 527 to 896 of the family's 1533-position model. The record is from RNAcentral.